AGUAAUCACAGGUCAGCAUACUGUGGUGAAUACGUUCCCGGGCCUUGUACACACCGCCCGUCACACCAUGAGAGUUGAGAAUACCCGAAGCCCAUGUCAAAGUGGUCGAAGGUAGGCUUGAUGAUUGGGGUGAAGUCGUAACAAGGUAAC
This 150-nucleotide ribosomal RNA is filed under the name uncultured bacterium. Its description in RNAcentral is "partial 16S ribosomal RNA". It matches the Rfam family "Bacterial small subunit ribosomal RNA", at positions 1337 to 1500 of the family's 1533-position model. The record is from RNAcentral.